Molecule: RNA transcript, 2486 nt
Organism: Homo sapiens (human)
Lineage: Eukaryota; Metazoa; Chordata; Mammalia; Primates; Hominidae
Gene: GTF2IRD1P1
Gene name: GTF2I repeat domain containing 1 pseudogene 1
Exons: 11
Source: RefSeq, marked validated
AGACGCGUGGCCACAGCCGGCCGGUCAGUGUUCGCAGGCUCCGACCCGGCGGCCAACACCAGUAAGCUACAAGGAGGAGCUUUCCCACUGCCUGUGCUACUACUACCGGCGCGACUUCCCAGCCUGCAGCGUAGGGCGCAGCAAGGGCCUGACGCUGAGCGAGCAGGCGCUGCACACCAAGCGGUUGUCGCCUGGCGGGCACAAACAGAAGGUCAGACAAGGGCAGCAUGUGUGAAGACUGCGGGCCAGACCCGUCACCAACCUCUGAGGAAAUGACAGACUCAAUGGCUGGGCACCUGCCAUCGGAGGAUUCUGAUUGUGGGAUGGAGAUGCUGACAGACAGUCAAGGUGACGUGAUCCGGCCCCUGUGGAAGCAGGUGGAGCUGCUCUUCAACACAAGAUACGGUCAGACAAGGGCGGCAUGUCUGAAGACUGUGGGCCAGGAACCUCCGGGGAGCUGGGUUGGCUGAAGCCAAUCAAAAUUGAGCCAGAGGAUCUGGACAUCAUUGCGGUCACUGUCCCAAGUAAGCGACGGACAUCUGACCACCCCCUGCAGAAAUGAGGACCGUAACAUAAGCCUCCUGAGGGUCUGCCCUGGUGAAGAAGAGGCCUCCAGGCCACUGUUUCUCUCCAUGGAUUCUGAGGCCCACCUGGACCCCUCGCCAACCUCUGAGGAAAUGACAGACUCGAUGCCUGGGCACCUGCCAUCUGAGGAUUCUGAUUGUGGGAUGGAGAUGCUGACACACAGUCAAGGUGACGUGAUCCAGCCCCUGCGGAAGCAGGUGGAGCUGCUCUUCAACAGAUGAUAUGGCCCAACUGCUUCGGGAUCGCCAAGCUCUGGAAGAUUCUGGAGGCCAGCAACAGCAUCCAGUUUGUCAUCAAGAGGCCUGAGCUGCUCACUGAGGGAGUCAAAGAGCCCAUCAUUGACAGUCAAGGUAUAGCUUAACCAGAAAACCUCUGUAGCAUGAGAAUAUUAAUAAUAAUGUAUAUUUUCCUAAGAAAGAACCAAAUCAAUUUUUGGAAGAGGGACGGAUUGUGAAACUUUAUUGAUAAAGAAUUCCGUUCCAAAGGUGUAUUCCAGUCACAUUUACCCUACAUAAAAUACCAACAUCUUCUUAUUGCAAAAACAGAAACUCCGGCCGUUGUAUUGAUGCUGACUUAAGAGAAAUAGAAGCCUCUAUAUAAGGCAAGAGUCCAUACCAGAAGAAUUCGACCAAUAUGAGAUACCUCCAAAAAAAUCAACUCAAUAACCUACUUUAUAUGUAAGAGACCCAAAAAAGUCAGCUUUUGUGGGAAGUUGAUAUGCAGUUUAUUGAACAAACAGAGUGUACAGUAACUAAACGAACUGUGUAUUUCCAAAGGAAUUAAGACCGCAUAUCUGGAUUCACACCUAAAAGCACAUAGAAAAUUAAACCAAAGAAGGGCAAGUUUUGUACUAAAAUCACUUGGGCCCAGGUUAUUCUAUAAGAAGAUUCUCACUGGCAUUUGAUAGUAACUUAUCACCUUCUGUGCGAGCUUGGGAACCAGCUGACUCAGUGAACUGCUUCCUGUCUUCAGUGCGUGAUGACACAGAUGUGUCAAGCUUAAUAGAUCUUAUAUGUAAAUUUAAGAAUAAGAAGUUUUAUACCCACCCUGGUUUUAUUCCAAAGUUACUGCUCUGCAAUUUUGGGCUCCAUCCUUAGGAAGAUACUGGAAAAGCAAGAGAACCUUUCUCAGCUGCCUGUGUGAAGUGACGUUGUUCUAGAACGGUGCCCUGGGGCCUCAUGCACGAUUUCACAAGUAUAGCUGCAUAAUCUGUGGAUGUCACUGAAUGGAAGAAGAAUCAUCAAUGGUAUAUUUAGGUUAUAGAAGGUUCCACUGAGAUAAGAAAAGGUUCUACAAUGCAGGUAGCUGUCAAGCCUCCUAAAUAUUUAACUCGUUUUAGUUAACAUCACACUGUGCAUUGAGUGCAAGAUUCUUUGGUUACACCAUAUUAACCACCAGGAGGAUAACUCCUGGUUUGUAAAAGACAUCAGUGGUUCUUAACGGAGGGGUGAUAUGGCCCCAGGAGACAUCUGACUAUGUCUGGAGAGAAUUUUUCACAGCUCUAGCGGGGGUGCUACUGGCACCUAAUGGAUAUGGAUGGCAGGAAUGCUGCUGAACAUUCUACCAUGCACAGGGUGGCCCCACAACAAACACCUCUCAGGCCACUAAUAUGAAUAGUCCCGAGGUUGAAAUGUCCUGAAAAAGGUUCAGAAAACAUGUCUAGACGUUUGCAAAGUCAAAUGUAUAUUAUGGAGGCUGCAAGGCGCCCCUUGCAUCUCACAGCUGAGGGACCCCGUCACCUCUCACCAUCAGAGGCCCAUUCAUUCCCGCCUUCCAUUCCAGGCCCAGUGCCUGCUCCUUCUCACUGAAGAACUCAAUAGAGAUUUGCUGAAUGAAUGAGGGAAAAAUAAGCUAGAAGCAUAGUUUAAAGUCUUCCAUCGACUACAUUAAACAGCAAUUUU